RNAcentral lists this ribosomal RNA (314 nucleotides) under Echinococcus granulosus. RNAcentral describes it as "partial 12S ribosomal RNA". Lineage: Eukaryota; Metazoa; Platyhelminthes; Cestoda; Cyclophyllidea; Taeniidae. The record is from RNAcentral.
CAUUAAUGUAUUUUUAAAAUGUUGUCCUGGUUUUGUAACUAAAAUGGUUUGGCAGUGAGCGAUUCUUGUUAGGGGAAGAUGCAUAGUAAAGGAUGGUCCACCUAUUAUUUCACUCUUGUUAUGUUGGUGUAUAUCUGGUUUGAUAUUAUCGUUUAAUGGUUUGAGUUUGUGUAGUUUUAGUUAAGCCAAGUCUAUGUGCUGCUUAUGGGAGUUUUUGUGUGUUACAUUAAUAAGGGUGUUGUUGUAAUAUGAUAUUAUUUAGGACUUAAUAGUAAUGUUUAAAUUAGUUUGUUGAUGUGAAAUGAGUUUAGCUC